Long non-coding RNA from Scylla paramamosain (green mud crab), 2114 nucleotides. RefSeq lists it as uncharacterized. The record is from RefSeq and is a predicted model, not a curated record. The transcript has 4 exons. NCBI's taxonomy places the organism in Eukaryota, Metazoa, Arthropoda, Malacostraca, Decapoda, Portunidae.
GUGCGUACUGUGCGGAGCAGGCUGGGAGGGACGACUCAGUACCAGAACGUGAGACAGCAAGGCAGUGUGUUCAAAGGGUGCCAUAAACUGUUGCUUUAUUUAAUGUGGGACGACACAGCACCAGACGUCAGACACCAAGGCACUGUUCAAAGGGUGCCAUAAACUGUUGCUUUAUUUCAUGUAUUGUCGCAUAACAAGACAGUGACAGGGGCCGUGGCUGCCUGCGUGUGCUGGUUCAAGCUUGGUGCCUGCCGGGAGGUGCCUACAGGGCCACCAAGGCUAAUAUUGGUAAGAAACCCGCCCACCACUUGUCCAGCCAGAUACAAAUGUAGAGGGACAAAAGAGAAAGGCAGGAAGACCACCACCACCAGCACAGUGGAAGAAAGGUGUGAGGACGCAACAAUCAACACUAUCGACAAAGCAGACGACAUAGACACUCGUAUGUUCUACACCCAUUUUGGCACAGCACAGUUUGGUGCAUGGACAGCCUGGGUGUGCUGGGUCGGCCUGACAAUGUUCGCAAUGCUCAAGCUAUGCAAGUACCACCAGCAGGAGAAUAUUCGGGUGUCAAUGGCCAGGGAACGGGCUCGCCUAGUCUCUGAUCGACAGUCUCAGAUCAGCGGAUGAUCGGAUGGUUCUUUGCCGGACAGCUGCUGAGUCUUCCUGUCAAAUUUCCAAACUUGACAUUAUUUUCCUGUUGAUUUUCCUCUCUUAGGUUUUUUUCCCAUUCUUGUUUUUUUUUUCCUCUCAGAUUUUUUCCUCUUCUUAUUUAUUUUAUUUUUUUCUGCUUUCAUUUUUGUUUUUCUGUCAAAUUGCACCUGUUUUCGUUUUUUUUUUCUUUUUUUCCCCUCUUGUUCUCCUAUUGAGUUUUUCUGUCUCUACUGUCCACCUUCCUAGCUCUCUAUCUUUUUUUUUCUUUUCUUUUCUUUUUUUUUUUGGUGUGUGUGUGUGUGUGUGUUUGUAUACAUAGAUGUACAUAGUUGAGUUAUAUCCUGGAGAUGUGUGUGUGUGUGUGUGUGUGUGUGUGUGUGUGUGUGUGUGUGUGUGUGUGUGUGUGUGUGUAAGAGAGAGAGAGAGUGUGUUUUCAUAUCUCUCUCUCUCUCUCUCUCUCUCUCUCUCUCUCUCUCUCUCUCUCUCUCUCUCUCUCUCUCUCUCUCUCUCUCUCUCUCUCUCUCUCUCUCUCUCUCUCUCUCUCUCUCUCUCUCAUAUUUGAACAAGUAAACACAUCUUACUUUUUCACAUUGCACUUAGAAAACACACACACACACACACACACACACACACACACACACACACACACACACACACACACAUACACUUAGUAUCACUGGCAUAAGUAGGUCUAUUUUUUUUUUUUUUUUCAUCACGUAGGCUUAAUGAAAACGUUGUGAAAAGCUUUAAGUUGUUAAGUAGGUGAUGUAAAGUAUGUUGGUCGUAACUUAAGACUUCCUACCCUUUUUUUCUAUACCUACCUAUUUUUUUACCUACCUGUUUUUACCUACCUAUUCUAUACCUACCUAUUUUUUUCUAUAUGAACAAGUUAUUAGUUAAUUUUAAAGCUAUUUUUUUUCUCUCAUUUCACUUGCAUUAUUCUCUCUCUCUCUCUCUCUCUCUCUCUCUCUCUCUCUCUCUCUCUCUCUCUCUCUCUCUCUCUCUCUCUCUCUCUCUCUCUCUCUCUCUCUCUCUCUCUCUCUCUCUCUCUCUCUCUCUCUCUCUCUGUAUCUAUCAUUAAAGAACAUAUAAACUCAUUAAUUCACUGGGUAUUAUCAAUAAGUUUUAGAUUAAAUAUUAUAAUUACUAGCUCUAGGUUUAUUUAUGUAACAGAGAGAGAGAGAGAGAGAGAGAAUGUACGUUUGUGUGUGUGUGUGUGUGUGUUUGUGUAUAAUCAUAUUCGCAUAUAUAAAUAUUGGAAGAGAUAAAUAAGAUGCAGAUUUUGUCCAUUGUAUAGCUAAGUAAUGAGGUCCUACAUACAUACAUACAUACAUACACAUUGCAUAUACUCACUAUAACCGUGUUCCAUUCCAGGCAGUUAGUGAAAAAAAUAUAUCUAUUGCUGUACCCUUUGUAUAUGUAUGUUUAAAUAAUGUAUUGGUUAUUACACUGUUUACUUUCUU